GGGACUGCGGAGCGGGGCGCCAUGUCGCGGCGGCGGUGGCGCGGCCCUCAGGGUGCUGAAGGUGGCGGACGCGGAGCCGACAUGGGGAAGAUGGCUACGGGCGGCGGCGGCGGCGGUUCGGGCCGAUAUUACGGCGGCGGUGGCGGCGGCGAAGGCGGGAGAGCUCCUAAACGCCUGAAAACCGAGAGCGCGGAGGCGCCGCCUCAUGGGCCCGGUGGGCCGGGGGGCGCGGGCGGCGGGGCCGGAGCAGGAGGAUCGGAGAACUACGAGGACCCGCACAAGACGCCGGCGUCGCCCGUGGUUCACAUCCGCGGCCUCAUCGACGGCAUCGUGGAGGCCGACCUGGUGGAGGCGCUGCAGGAGUUCGGGCCCAUCAGCUACGUGGUGGUGAUGCCCAAGAAGCGCCAGGCCCUGGUGGAGUUCGAGGACAUCCUGGGCGCCUGCAACGCCGUCAACUACGCGGCCGACAACCAGAUCUACUUCGCGGGGCACCCGGCCUUCGUCAACUACUCCACCAGCCAGAAGAUCUCGCGGCCCGGGGACAGCGACGACGCGCGCGGCGUCAACAACGUGCUGCUCUUCACCAUCCUCAACCCCAUCUACUCCAUCACCACGGACGUGCUGUACACCAUCUGCAACCCGUGCGGGCCGGUGCAGAGGAUCGUCAUCUUCCGCAAGAACGGCGUGCAGGCCAUGGUGGAGUUUGACUCGGUGCAGAGCGCCCAGCGCGCCAAGGCCUCGCUCAACGGCGCCGACAUCUACUCGGGGUGCUGCACCCUCAAGAUCGAGUACGCCAAGCCCAGCCGCCUGAACGUGUUCAAGAACGACCAGGACACCUGGGACUACACCAACCCCAACCUGAGCGGGACAGGAGAGCCCGGCGGGACCCCCAACAAACGGCAGCGACAGCCGCCCCUGCUGGGCGACCACCCGGCCGAGUACGGGGGUCCCCACGGCGGGUACCACCACGGGCACUACCACCACGACGAGGGCUACGGGCCCCCUCCCCCCCAUUACGAGGGGCGCCGCAUGGGGCCGCCCCCGGUGGGCGGGGGGCACCGCCGGGGUCCCGGGCGCUACGGACCCCAGUACGGGCACCCCCCCCCGCCGCCGCCGCCGCCCCCCGACUACGGCCCCCACGCUGACUCGCCCGUGCUGAUGGUGUACGGGCUGGACCAGGCCAAGAUGAACUGCGACAGGGUGUUCAACGUGUUCUGCCUCUACGGGAACGUGGAGAAGGUGAAGUUCAUGAAGAGCAAGCCGGGCGCGGCCAUGGUGGAGAUGGCCGAUGGCUACGCCGUGGACAGAGCCAUCACCCACCUCAACAACAACUUCAUGUUCGGCCAGAAGCUCAACGUCUGCGUCUCCAAGCAGCACGCCAUCAUGCCGGGCCAGUCGUACGGGCUGGAGGACGGCUCGUGCAGCUACAAGGAUUUCAGCGGCUCGCGCAACAACCGCUUCUCCACGCCCGAGCAGGCGGCCAAGAACCGCAUCCAGCACCCCAGCAACGUGCUGCACUUCUUCAACGCGCCCCUCGACGUCACCGAGGACAACUUCUACGAGAUCUGUGACGAGCUCGGGGUCAAGCGCCCGUCCUCGGUCAAGGUGUUCUCUGGCAAGAGCGAGCGCAGCUCCUCGGGGCUGCUCGAGUGGGACUCCAAGAGCGACGCCCUGGAGACGCUCGGGUUCCUGAACCACUUCCAGAUGAAGAACCCCAGUGAGUGCUUCGGCCUCAUCUUCAUCCUCAUCCUCAUCCUCAGCCUCAGCCUCAGCCUCCCAGCCCCCUCCCCACCCUGCCCUUCCUCCUCCUCCUCCUCCUCUUCCUCAACCACUUCCAGAUGAAGAACCCCAGUGAGUGCUUCGGCCUCAGCAUCAUCUUCAUCCUCAUCCUCAUCCUCAUCCUCAUCCUCAGCCUCAUCCUCCCAGCCCCCUCCCCACCCUGCCCUUCAUCCUCCUCUUCCUCCUCCUCAUCUUCCUCAACCACUUCCAGAUGAAGAACCCCAACGGACCCUACCCCUACACGCUCAAGCUCUGCUUCUCCACGGCCCAGCACGCCUCAUAGGGGACCCCCAAAAUGGGCCCUGGGGACCCCCAAAAUGGGCCCUGGGACCCCCAAAAUCACCCGGGGACCCCCAAAAUCACCCUGGGGACCCCAAAAUCGGCCCUGGGACCCCCAAAAUCGGCCCUGGGACCCCCAGAAUCACCCCGGGGACCCCAAAAUCAGCCCUGGGACCCCCAAAAUCGGCCCUGGGACCCCCAAAAUCGGCCCUGGGACCCCCAGAGACCCCCAGGAUGAGCCAGGAUCCUUUGGAGACCCCAAAGAUCCCCCUGGGGAUCCCUUGGAGACCCCCAAGGAUCCCCCCGGGACCCCCAAAGAUCCCCCUGGAGACCCCCAGGACCCCCAAAACCCCCCUGGGGUCCCCCCAAGACCUUCUGGGAUCCCUUGAGACCCCCAAGGACCCCAAAACCCCCCCUGGGAUUCCUUUGGGGACCCCCAAAAAUCCCCUCGGGACCCCUCUGAGACCCCC
RNA transcript from Zonotrichia leucophrys gambelii, 2528 nucleotides. It is a transcript of the gene named heterogeneous nuclear ribonucleoprotein L, with no coding region annotated. The transcript has 15 exons. The record is from RefSeq and is a predicted model, not a curated record. Lineage: Eukaryota; Metazoa; Chordata; Aves; Passeriformes; Passerellidae.